Molecule: ribosomal RNA, 571 nt
Filed under: uncultured bacterium
Lineage: Bacteria
Description: partial 16S ribosomal RNA
Rfam family: Bacterial small subunit ribosomal RNA
Source: RNAcentral
UGGGGAAUUUUGGACAAUGGGCGAAAGCCUGAUCCAGCAAUGCCGCGUGUGUGAAGAAGGCCUUCGGGUUGUAAAGCACUUUUGCCCGGAAAGAAAUCCUUGGCUCUAAUACAGUCGGGGGAUGACGGUACCGGAAGAAUAAGCACCGGCUAACUACGUGCCAGCAGCCGCGGUAAUACGUAGGGUGCAAGCGUUAAUCGGAAUUACUGGGCGUAAAGCGUGCGCAGGCGGUUUGCUAAGACCGAUGUGAAAUCCCCGGGCUCAACCUGGGAACUGCAUUGGUGACUGGCAGGCUAGAGUAUGGCAGAGGGGGGUAGAAUUCCACGUGUAGCAGUGAAAUGCGUAGAGAUGUGGAGGAAUACCGAUGGCGAAGGCAGCCCCCUGGGCCAAUACUGACGCUCAUGCACGAAAGCGUGGGGAGCAAACAGGAUUAGAUACCCUGGUAGUCCACGCCCUAAACGAUGUCAACUAGUUGUUGGGGAUUCAUUUCCUUAGUAACGUAGCUAACGCGUGAAGUUGACCGCCUGGGGAGUACGGUCGCAAGAUUAAAACUCAAAUGAAUUGACGGGGU